GAUAAACGCUGGCGGCGUGCCUAACACAUGCAAGUCGAACGCCCUUUUGCGCAAGUGAGAGGGAGUGGCGGACGGGUGAGUACCACGUGGGUACCUACCUUGAGGUGAGGAAUACCACCGAGAAAUCGGUGACAAGACCGCAUACGCUCGGGCAACCGAGCAAAGUCAUGCAAAUGACGCCACAAGAUGAGCCUGCGCCUGAUUAGCUGGUUGGUGAGGUAACAGCUCACCAAGGCGACGAUCAGUAGCUGGUCUGAGAGGAUGAUCAGCCACACUGGGAUUGAGAACGGCCCAGACUCCUACGGGGGCGA
RNAcentral lists this ribosomal RNA (311 nucleotides) under uncultured bacterium. RNAcentral's name for it is "bacterial SSU rRNA". It matches the Rfam family "Bacterial small subunit ribosomal RNA", at positions 28 to 350 of the family's 1533-position model. The record is from RNAcentral.